GUUGUUAUUUAAAAUGUGUAAAAUUGAUAAAUAAUGAGUUAGAUUUGAAUUAGAAUAUAUGAUGAGUUACAUUAGUUAUUUUGACCCUUUCCCCUAGUUUCCACGUAGAACAGAUAUGCAUUUAUCCUUAUAUGCCAAUGUAGAAAAAAAAUCCUUUGUGUCAUAGUUUCUUUUAUUCAUUCAGGCUUCUGCACUGCCAUUUUCAAUGAGAGACAAGAAAACUCUUGGUUCAAACCCCACUAAACGUCCUUAAAGCCAGCAUCGCAACUAAUGCUAAAAACUCUUAUUUCUUUGUGUUUCUCAGCUCUCCUCCCAUUUCCUUCUGCCAGGUGCCUCCUUUUAAGAGCAGCUUUGAGGGGAAGUCUUUACAGGAUUAGUGUUCUCUGUUCGAGCAGCCUGACACUUGCUGAGCAAUUUCCUGAAUCUCUGUGUUGGGAAUGUUCUAGAAAGUGCACAGUGCUGACUACAGGAUUACGCAGAGACUUGUUCCAGCCAGAAGCCAGACAACAGCUCUUUGGACUCUCAUUCUGACGGCACCCAUUCACUGCAGAGGAUCCAUUAGUGGGCAGCUCUGUGACCUGAUGGCUCUCACCCUUGGCCUUAUUAUUAAAAACAUGAUACCUGUUUCCACAUCUGUCAACAAGCCACUGCAGAGCUUCUCCC
This is a long non-coding RNA of Carassius auratus (goldfish), 663 nucleotides long. RefSeq lists it as uncharacterized. The record is from RefSeq and is a predicted model, not a curated record. The transcript has 3 exons. NCBI's taxonomy places the organism in Eukaryota, Metazoa, Chordata, Actinopteri, Cypriniformes, Cyprinidae.